UGAAUUUUUCAUCCGGACAUUUUAAUUAAGGAUAUGUCUAUAAAACACCUGAAAACUGUGUCUAUUAAACCCUUUUAAAAACAACCAUUCAAAAAGACAAAAAAGUCAGAAGUAUACACACUGUUGAUAUGGCUAUAGAUGAAUAAGAUAAAGACACUUGUAAAAAAGAGAAAAAGGAAACCAAAAAAACAUUGUAUUACCAAAAAAAUAUGCAGUGUGAGGAGCUGUAAAAGAACCAAAAGCUUUUCCACCAGUACCACCAUCAAGCUUACUAUUUAAAGCAUCUCUUUUUUGAUUAUUGGGUAAAAGCUUUUCUCACCAAAUCUAUGUUUUAAAAUUUUAACCGAAUCUUCGGCAAUGAGAAAGAAAUCCAAUUUAUUUUAUUGCUCCUUUUAAGUGAGUGGUUUAGUCUAGUUUAAGUUUUGCCAUUUAACCUCUAAAGCAAGCCUCUAUUCGUGAAUGAGAAGAAAAAAAUUGUCUAAUUACAAUAAUGAGUCCGAAUGAAAUGGAAGAUGGAGGCAAUCAUUGAGCUCAACUUUUAUGUUAGAAAGUGAAUGAAUCUUGAAUUUCGAUUCUUGGCUCAAAUAUUUUUGGAGUUUGACCUGAGAGUUUAUUCAAUCUAAUAGUUGGAUUUUGUUUUAGUGGUUGAAGAGUAUUCAUUUGAUCGGAAGCCAGAGAGAUUGGGUGGAAAGGGAGAGAGUCAAGACUCUUGUUAACAGAAAGAAAAUAAACAAAGACAUACACCUAUCACCAGGUAUCAUUGAGGAGCAAGUUCGUGAUACGCCUACGACUUAAGAGAACUUGCUGCUUUCGAGACUAUUCGGUACACAGGGAGACGGUGCGGACGCGUAGGAGCUGAUUCAGCAGUUGUAGAGGAGCACCCCACUAUUUCUGAGGUACACAGGGAGACGGUACGAACGAGUUGGAGCUGACUCAGCAGUUACACAGGAGCACCCCACUAUUUCAGAGGUAGACAGGGAGACGAGCUUGAGCCAGACUCGUAGGAGUUGUUAGCUGAUUGAAAGCAUUCCUUUUUUCCGAAGGUAGACAGGGAGGUGAUCUUGAUCCAGACUCGUAGGAGCUGUUAGCUGAUUGAGAGCACUCCAUUGUUCCGGAGGUGCCCGAUUAUUCUUUUGUGUAUAUAUGCAUAUUUUGGGCACGACAGGGUCCUGUCCCGUCCUUAUGUCUAGCACUCUAGUGGAGGCUCGUAGAUAUGCAGUGUGGGUUGUAUGGUCUCGC
Lycium barbarum (goji berry) is the source of this 1239-nucleotide long non-coding RNA. RefSeq lists it as uncharacterized. The transcript is spliced from 6 exons. The record is from RefSeq and is a predicted model, not a curated record. NCBI's taxonomy places the organism in Eukaryota, Viridiplantae, Streptophyta, Magnoliopsida, Solanales, Solanaceae.